RNAcentral lists this ribosomal RNA (1133 nucleotides) under Triticum aestivum (bread wheat). RNAcentral's name for it is "partial small subunit ribosomal RNA". Lineage: Eukaryota; Viridiplantae; Streptophyta; Magnoliopsida; Poales; Poaceae. The record is from RNAcentral.
UUAGUAGUUGAACUAGAUAGUUGAACUAGAUAGUUGACUAAUAAAACUAAAUUAUGAACGUAGGCCGGAAAUGUCGUACUCAUCGGACGACGAUAACCGUCCGGGGGAGUGCGACUGGUGCCACGACAACCGAGGUAUCUGCGACAGGUUCAUUGAGCUGGAUGAAGAUCGGCGCUUCAGCAUUAACCUCGAGGAGACUUGCGACGUUCAUACGGUACGCAACGACGACAAUAGGUUUUUUCGUAAUUAAGCACGACUUCAACUAUUUUAACGUGUAUUUUUCAUCUUUCCUAUUCGACUAGCUUAUCCCAUGCUUUGCAAGACGCUAUGUCUUGGAGAGGAUGGGUAUUGAAGACCAUGAAAAUUUUGAAACCAAAAAAAUUAUCCUAAGUACCGAACAUGACGUGGAUUUUCAAGUAAAGCUGUACAAUGCUCAGAGUGUAACCCAUUUUGGUUGCAAAAAUUGGGAUGCAUUUUGCAAGAUGUAUGGUCUUGAUGAGGGUAUGACUAUCACCAUGGAUCUUGGUGAUCCUACAAUCGAGCAAGAGACACCUACGAUUUGGGUCUUUGUGGAUACACCUCCAGUUCUUCCCUCAUCUUAUUUUCAUGCUUCAAAGAAUGUGCGGAAGAUGGUAGAUAGAACGUACUACACCGAAGGCUGCGAAUUAACUUAUCAGGAGAAACAAUAUCUGGUCGGAUUUUGUAGAGAUCUUGAGAAUUACAAUAUCUACAAUAAAACUCCUCAACAUUAUGGUCAAUACGUGCCACUAGUGCACGUGUUGAACUACGGUAACUACCAUGGAGAUACCUUGAUAAUCCCGAAUGAUUGUGUGCCUCAUCUGAUGUAUACGCGUGGUAGCCUUCAUGUUUUGAACAUACUACCAGGUCGUCCUACGAAUCUCAACUGUCCAUACCGGGUUUUUAAAAUAAGUGGAGACAUAACAAUCAAAGAAUGGAGAAAAUGUAUGGACAGUCGUAAGGAGCUUCUUGGAAGCAAUAAGCAGCGAAAGGCAAGAAUUGGAGACAGGAUGAUCGCCAUUCUUCAUAACGGAGAGUCAGUGUCUAUAUUGUUUUAUGCUAUUUUACCUUAAAGGUGUUUAGGUCCUACCUGAUACUGAUGAUCAUGUGCUAAG